UAGUAAACGAGCGAAAGUAAA
RNAcentral lists this non-coding RNA (21 nucleotides) under Caenorhabditis elegans. The record is from RNAcentral. Lineage: Eukaryota; Metazoa; Nematoda; Chromadorea; Rhabditida; Rhabditidae.